RNAcentral lists this ribosomal RNA (480 nucleotides) under uncultured bacterium. Its description in RNAcentral is "SSU rRNA". It matches the Rfam family "Bacterial small subunit ribosomal RNA", at positions 26 to 523 of the family's 1533-position model. The record is from RNAcentral.
AGGACGAACGCUGGCGGCGUGCUUAACACAUGCAAGUCGAACGGUAAGGCCCUUCGGGGUACACGAGUGGCGAACGGGUGAGUAACACGUGGGUGAUCUGCCCUGCACUUCGGGAUAAGCUUGGGAAACUGGGUCUAAUACCGGAUAUGACUACGAAUCGCAUGGUUUGUGGUGGAAAGCUUUUGCGGUGUGGGAUGGGCCCGCGGCCUAUCAGCUUGUUGGUGGGGUGAUGGCCUACCAAGGCGACGACGGGUAGCCGACCUGAGAGGGUGUCCGGCCACACUGGGACUGAGAUACGGCCCAGACUCCUACGGGAGGCAGCAGUGGGGAAUAUUGCACAAUGGGCGCAAGCCUGAUGCAGCGACGCCGCGUGAGGGAUGACGGCCUUCGGGUUGUAAACCUCUUUCAGUAUCGACGAAGCGCAAGUGACGGUAGGUACAGAAGAAGGACCGGCCAACUACGUGCCAGCAGCCGCGGUAA